UACGGGGGGAGCAAGCGUUGUUCGGAUUUACUGGGCGUAAAGGGCGCGUAGGCGGCCUGCUAAGUCGAACGUGAAAUCCCUGGGCUCAACCCAGGAACUGCGUCCGAUACUGGUUGGCUUGAAUCCGGGAGAGGGACGUGGAAUUCCAGGUGUAGCGGUGAAAUGCGUAGAUAUCUGGAGGAACACCGGUGGCGAAGGCGACGUCCUGGACCGGCAUUGACGCUGAGGCGCGAAAGCCAGGGGAGCAAACGGG
RNAcentral lists this ribosomal RNA (253 nucleotides) under uncultured bacterium. Its description in RNAcentral is "partial 16S ribosomal RNA". It matches the Rfam family "Bacterial small subunit ribosomal RNA", at positions 524 to 776 of the family's 1533-position model. The record is from RNAcentral.